GACGAACGCUGGCGGCGUGCUUAACACAUUCAAGUCGAACGGAAAGGCCCCUUUGGGGGUACUCGAGUGGCGAACGGGUGAGUAACACGUGAGUAACCUGCCCUUGACUUCGGGAUAACUUCAGGAAACUGGGGCUAAUACCGGAUAGGAAUCCUUGCUGCAUGGUGGGGGUUGGAAAGCUUCGGCGGUUUUGGAUGGACUCGCGGCUUAUCAGCUUGUUGGUGGGGUAGUGGCUUACCAAGGCUUUGACGGGUAGCCGGCCUGAGAGGGCGACCGGCCACAUUGGGACUGAGAUACGGCCCAGACUCCUACGGGAGGCAGCAGUGGGGAAUAUUGCACAAUGGGCGGAAGCCUGAUGCAGCAACGCCGCGUGCGGGAUGACGGCCUUCGGGUUGUAAACCGCUUUCAGCAGGGGCGAAGCUUGUGGUGACGGUACCUGCAGAAGAAGCACCGGCUAACUACGUG
Molecule: ribosomal RNA, 465 nt
Filed under: uncultured bacterium
Lineage: Bacteria
Description: partial 16S ribosomal RNA
Rfam family: Bacterial small subunit ribosomal RNA
Source: RNAcentral